CUGGAAUGCUCACACUUGAUCUAUAUGACAAUGAUGCAGAGCAACUAUUGCCCUUCACUCUGCUUGAAAUUCAAGAACUUGAAGACAAGCACCAACUCAACUACAUUGCUAUUGAACAAGCUAUUGAAAACACCAUUCUCACUUGCUUUGUGAAAAAAAUGAUGGGAAACCGUGGAUCCGGGGACACAGAAAAAUACACAGCCAUAAUAGUGCACAAAGCAAAUGCUCCAGAAAUCAUAUCAAAGAUUCCUACAACCCCAGCAUCGAUUGCUACUUCCUCCACAUGCGCUUCCUCGACUCCAGGACCAUCAACUGCAGAAGCUGUCCCAAAACACUCAACUUUUGACAGUGAGUUAUUCACAGCUCUCAAAAUUACAGAAAGUCCAACUAAGAGACAACGCACUGACGUGACUGAUAUGGAGCAGUAGAAUGUAAUAUCCUUACUUAAACUUUUGAUACACCUUUUGAACAUCUGAUCAUUAGCAAUCUCCAAUAUUGUAUAUAACGCUGAUGCAGCUAGAUAGCUAAAGAUCUGAACUAGAUCAUUCGCUCAGCUUGCCUACGCUUUUGAAUAUUAUGUAUAUCACAAAAAACUGUAGGCUAUGCUUUUUGAAGAGCAACUCUGUAAAUUACAUCGAUGCUAUGUUCAUAAAAUGUACUUCUAUCCAGGCUACAUGCCAUAGCUUCACAAAA
Coffea arabica (coffee) is the source of this 693-nucleotide non-coding RNA. The record is from RefSeq and is a predicted model, not a curated record. NCBI's taxonomy places the organism in Eukaryota, Viridiplantae, Streptophyta, Magnoliopsida, Gentianales, Rubiaceae.